GCUUGCGCCCGUGUGCCGUCCCUUCUACUUGGGUGAGACCAAGUCCUUGAGCCCCUGGAGAUCAUGGCUCCUCGUCCGAGAAGAAACAGAAAAGCCAGGUGGUGGCGGCUGCUCUGUUGCUUCUCCAGCACCACAAAGGAAGAAGAGGCUCCUGAGGCCCCUCCUGCCAGUCCACCAGAGACA
Molecule: non-coding RNA, 183 nt
Organism: Pogona vitticeps (central bearded dragon)
Lineage: Eukaryota; Metazoa; Chordata; Lepidosauria; Squamata; Agamidae
Source: RefSeq, a predicted model, not a curated record